UCUUCCUCCUCCCUCAGCCCGAUCCAACCAAAAGGUUCUUCAAGGCUAUUCCUCUCGUUCGAAAGCACCAGUCUCGAUCGAUGCUCCUUCCGAUCCCCGGACGAGAAAUGAACCGGCCCUCCCUCUUUUGGUGGCCGAUUCAUGUUUGGUUUGAUGAUUGGCAGGGACUUCUUCAGGCCUAUCCUCCUCUCUUGAAAGGGGACUGCAAAUUCUUCAAAUCGCCAAACAAUCACAAUGAAAUCAACAGAUAUCAUCGACAAGGAGUUGCUGGUACUGCGUACAUGGAGUAACAGAGUACGCCUUCGCGCAGACAAAGCAGGUCUCGAAGUACGCGACCGCCACCGACAAGGCGUAAUCGUAAUCCAUUCGCCUGCCCGAGGCCCGAGGCCCGAGGCGCCGAUCCCCC
This is a long non-coding RNA of Triticum dicoccoides, 406 nucleotides long. RefSeq lists it as uncharacterized. The transcript is spliced from 3 exons. The record is from RefSeq and is a predicted model, not a curated record. NCBI's taxonomy places the organism in Eukaryota, Viridiplantae, Streptophyta, Magnoliopsida, Poales, Poaceae.